This 433-nucleotide ribosomal RNA is filed under the name uncultured bacterium. Its description in RNAcentral is "partial 16S ribosomal RNA". It matches the Rfam family "Bacterial small subunit ribosomal RNA", at positions 29 to 507 of the family's 1533-position model. The record is from RNAcentral.
AACGAACGCUGGCGGCAUGCUUAACACAUGCAAGUCGAACGAGACGUUCGGGUUUAGGGGCGGACGGGGGGGGAACGCCGGGGGACCUGCCCGUAGGUACGGAAUCACUCACUGAAAGGGGUGCUAAUACCGCAGAAGGUCUUCGGGCCAAAGAUUUAUUGCCUUUGGGUGGGCGCGCGUUAGUUUAGCUAGUUGGUAGGGUAAAAGCAGCUCAAGGGGACGUUCCAGAGCUGGUCGGAGAGGAAGAUCCGCAACACUGGGGCUGAGACACGGCCCAGACUCCUACGGGACGGAGCAGUGGAGAAUAUUGGACACUGGGCGAAAGCGUGAUACCGCCAUGCCGGGGAAGUGGUGAAGGCCUUAGGGUUGUAAUGCUCUUUUACCCGGGGUGAUAAUGACGGUACCGGGAGAAUAAGCACCGGCUAACUCCGUG